GACGAACGCUGGCGGCGUGCUUAACACAUGCAAGUCGAACGGAAAGGCCCUGCUUUUGUGGGGUGCUCGAGUGGCGAACGGGUGAGUAACACGUGAGUAACCUGCCCUUGACUUUGGGAUAACUUCAGGAAACUGGGGCUAAUACCGGAUAGGAGCUCCUGCUGCACGGUGGGGGUUGGAAAGUUUCGGCGGUUGGGGAUGGACUCGCGGCUUAUCAGCUUGUUGGUGGGGUAGUGGCUUACCAAGGUUUUGACGGGUAGCCGGCCUGCGAGGGUGACCGGCCACAUUGGGACUGAGAUACGGCCCAGACUCCUACGGGAGGCAGCAGUGGGGAAUAUUGCACAAUGGGCGGAAGCCUGAUGCAGCAACGCCGCGUGCGGGAUGACGGCCUUCGGGUUGUAAACCGCUUUCGCCUGUGACGAAGCGUGAGUGACGGUAAUGGGUAAAGAAGCACCGGCUAACUACGUG
RNAcentral lists this ribosomal RNA (468 nucleotides) under uncultured bacterium. Its description in RNAcentral is "partial 16S ribosomal RNA". It matches the Rfam family "Bacterial small subunit ribosomal RNA", at positions 28 to 507 of the family's 1533-position model. The record is from RNAcentral.